UUGCCCACUCAUUGUAAUUUUGUUCUUUGAGUGGCCAUGAAUAAGGGAUAGAAAAACUCUUCUUUAAAACCCAGAGCAUCAGCUACUGUAUGCUUUGGUUCCUGUCAGGAAGGACAAAA
Small nucleolar RNA from Mobula hypostoma (lesser devil ray), 119 nucleotides. RefSeq annotates it as small nucleolar RNA SNORA26. The record is from RefSeq and is a predicted model, not a curated record. The transcript has a single exon. NCBI's taxonomy places the organism in Eukaryota, Metazoa, Chordata, Chondrichthyes, Myliobatiformes, Myliobatidae.